UGGGGAAUAUUGGACAAUGGGCGAAAGCCUGAUCCAGCAAUGCCGCGUGUGUGAAGAAGGUCUUCGGAUUGUAAAGCACUUUCGACGGGGACGAUGAUGACGGUACCCGUAGAAGAAGCCCCGGCUAACUUCGUGCCAGCAGCCGCGGUAAUACGAAGGGGGCUAGCGUUGCUCGGAAUGACUGGGCGUAAAGGGCGCGUAGGCGGAUGGCACAGUCAGAUGUGAAAUUCCUGGGCUUAACCUGGGGGCUGCAUUUGAGACGUGUUGUCUAGAGUGUGAAAGAGGGUCGUGGAAUUCCCAGUGUAGAGGUGAAAUUCGUAGAUAUUGGGAAGAACACCGGUGGCGAAGGCGGCGACCUGGUUCAUAACUGACGCUGAGGCGCGAAAGCGUGGGGAGCAAACA
Molecule: ribosomal RNA, 402 nt
Filed under: uncultured bacterium
Lineage: Bacteria
Description: bacterial SSU rRNA
Rfam family: Bacterial small subunit ribosomal RNA
Source: RNAcentral